CCUACGGGAGGCAGCAGUAGGGAAUAUUGCUCAAUGGGGGAAACCCUGAAGCAGCAACGCCGCGUGGAGGAUGAAGGUUUUAUGAUUGUAAACCCCCUUUGUGAGAGAAGAUAAUGACGGUACCUCACUAAUAAGGACCGGCCAACUCCGUGCCAGAAGCCGCGGUAACACGGAGGGUGCAAGCGUUACCCGGAAUCACUGGGCGUAAAGGGUGUGCAGGCGGGCUUGUAAGUCAGAUGUGAAAUCCUGUAGCUUAACUACAGAACUGCAGUUGAAACUAUGAGUCUAGAGUGUGGGAGAGGUAGGUGGAAUGCUUGGUGUAGGGGUAAAAUCCGUAGAUAUCAAGAAGAAUACUCAUUGCGAAGGCGACCUACUGGAACAUUACUGACGCUCAUGCACGAAAGCGUGGGGAGCAAACAGGAUUAGAUACCCCAGUAGUC
This 440-nucleotide ribosomal RNA is filed under the name uncultured bacterium. RNAcentral's name for it is "partial 16S ribosomal RNA". It matches the Rfam family "Bacterial small subunit ribosomal RNA", at positions 338 to 795 of the family's 1533-position model. The record is from RNAcentral.